CUGGACGGCCAUAGGAGCUUGGUUCACCCGAUCCCAUCCCGAACUCGGAAGUUAAGCAAGCCUCCGUUUCUGACUGUACUGUGCUCCGCAUGGGAAAUCAGAAAAGCUGUCCACC
This 115-nucleotide ribosomal RNA is filed under the name Candidatus Woesearchaeota archaeon. Lineage: Archaea; Nanobdellati; Candidatus Woesearchaeota. The record is from RNAcentral.